RNAcentral lists this ribosomal RNA (494 nucleotides) under uncultured bacterium. RNAcentral's name for it is "partial 16S ribosomal RNA". It matches the Rfam family "Bacterial small subunit ribosomal RNA", at positions 899 to 1397 of the family's 1533-position model. The record is from RNAcentral.
ACUCAAAUGAAUUGACGGGGGCCCGCACAAGCAGCGGAGCAUGUGGUUUAAUUCGAAGCAACGCGAAGAACCUUACCUAGACUUGACAUCUCCUGAAUUACUCGUAACUGAGGAAGCCCUUCGGGGCAGGAAGACAGGUGGUGCAUGGUUGUCGUCAGCUCGUGUCGUGAGAUGUUGGGUUAAGUCCCGCAACGAGCGCAACCCUUGUUGUUAGUUGCUACCAUUAAGUUGAGCACUCUAACGAGACUGCCGCGGUUAACGCGGAGGAAGGUGGGGAUGACGUCAAAUCAUCAUGCCCCUUAUGUCUAGGGCUACACACGUGCUACAAUGGGGAGUACAAAGAGACGCAAAGCCGCGAGGCGGAGCAAAACUCAAAAACUUCUCCCAGUUCGGAUUGCAGGCUGAAACUCGCCUGCAUGAAGCCGGAGUUGCUAGUAAUCGCGAAUCAGAAUGUCGCGGUGAAUACGUUCCCGGGCCUUGUACACACCGCCCGU